GGGGCUGUAGCUCAGUGGCAGAGCACUUGCCUAGCAUGCAUGAGGCACUGGGUUCAAUCCUCAGCAUCACA
RNAcentral lists this transfer RNA (71 nucleotides) under Marmota monax (woodchuck). RNAcentral describes it as "tRNA.Ala". The stretch from base 6 to 66 matches the Rfam family "tRNA", at positions 6 to 65 of the family's 71-position model. From Rfam's summary of the family: Transfer RNA (tRNA) molecules are approximately 80 nucleotides in length. Their secondary structure includes four short double-helical elements and three loops (D, anti-codon, and T loops). The record is from RNAcentral. Lineage: Eukaryota; Metazoa; Chordata; Mammalia; Rodentia; Sciuridae.